UACGGAAGGUCCGGGCGUUAUCCGGAUUUAUUGGGUUUAAAGGGAGCGUAGGCCGGAGAUUAAGCGUGUUGUGAAAUGUAGACGCUCAACGUCUGCACUGCAGCGCGAACUGGUUUCCUUGAGUACGCACAAAGUGGGCGGAAUUCGUGGUGUAGCGGUGAAAUGCUUAGAUAUCACGAAGAACUCCGAUUGCGAAGGCAGCUCACUGGAGCGCAACUGACGCUGAAGCUCGAAAGUGCGGGUAUCGAACAGGAUUAGAAACAGUCCGGCUGACUGACU
Molecule: ribosomal RNA, 279 nt
Filed under: Segatella copri DSM 18205
Lineage: Bacteria; Pseudomonadati; Bacteroidota; Bacteroidia; Bacteroidales; Prevotellaceae
Description: Prevotella copri DSM 18205 partial 16S ribosomal RNA
Rfam family: Bacterial small subunit ribosomal RNA
Source: RNAcentral